CUACGGGCGGCAGCAGUGAGGAAUAUUGCACAAUGGGCGCAAGCCUGAUCCAGCAAUACCGCGUGUGUGAAGAAGGCCUGCGGGUUGUAAAGCACUUUCAAUUGGGAAGAAAAGCCUGAGGCUAAUAUCCUCGGGUCUUGACGUUACCUUUAGAAGAAGCACCGGCUAACUCCGUGCCAGCAGCCGCGGUGAAUACGGAGGGUGCGAGCGUUAAUCGGAAUUACUGGGCGUAAAGCGCGCGUAGGCGGCUUGUUAAGUCAGAUGUGAAAGCCCCGGGCUCAACCUGGGAACUGCAUUUGAUACUGGCAGGCUAGAGUGUGGUAGAGGGAAGUGGAAUUCCAGGUGUAGCGGUGAAAUGCGUAGAUAUCUGGAGGAACAUCAGUGGCGAAGGCGACUUCCUGGACCAACACUGACGCUGAGGUGCGAAAGCGUGGGUAGCAAACAGGAUUAGAUACCCUAGUAGUC
This 465-nucleotide ribosomal RNA is filed under the name uncultured bacterium. RNAcentral's name for it is "partial 16S ribosomal RNA". It matches the Rfam family "Bacterial small subunit ribosomal RNA", at positions 339 to 795 of the family's 1533-position model. The record is from RNAcentral.